RNAcentral lists this ribosomal RNA (587 nucleotides) under uncultured bacterium. Its description in RNAcentral is "partial 16S ribosomal RNA". It matches the Rfam family "Bacterial small subunit ribosomal RNA", at positions 355 to 1375 of the family's 1533-position model. The record is from RNAcentral.
UGGGGAAUUUUGGACAAUGGGCGAAAGCCUGAUCCAGCAAUGCCGCGUGUGUGAAGAAGGCCUUCGGGUUGUAAAGCACUUUUGUCCGGAAAGAAAUCCUUGGCUCUAAUACAGUCGGGGGAUGACGGUACCGGAAGAAUAAGCACCGGCUAACUACGUGCCAGCAGCCGCGGUAAUACGUAGGGUGCAAGCGUUAAUCGGAAUUACUGGGCGUAAAGCGUGCGCAGGCGGUUUGCUAAGACCGAUAUGAAAUCCCCGGGCUCAACCUGGGAACUGCAUUGGUGACUGGCAGGCUAGAGUAUGGCAGAGGGGGGUAGAAUUCCACGUGUAGCAGUGAAAUGCGUAGAGAUGUGGAGGAAUACCGAUGGCGAAGGCAGCCCCCUGGGCCAAUACUGACGCUCAUGCACGAAAGCGUGGGGAGCAAAACAGGAUUAGAUACCCUGGUAGUCCACGCCCUAAACGAUGUCAACUAGUUGUUGGGGAUUCAUUUCCUUAGUAACGUAGCUAACGCGUGAAGUUGACCGCCUGGGGAGUACGGUCGCAAGAUUAAAAACUUAAAGGAAUUGACGGGGUCAUAGCUGUUUCCU